This 453-nucleotide ribosomal RNA is filed under the name Stylocellus sp. DNA101519. RNAcentral's name for it is "partial 16S ribosomal RNA". The record is from RNAcentral. Lineage: Eukaryota; Metazoa; Arthropoda; Arachnida; Opiliones; Stylocellidae.
UUCUUAAAGAAUGAAUUUUAAGUAAUUUCUGCUCAAUGAAUGAUUCAAUAGCUGCGAAAGCACUAAGGUAGCAUAAUAAAUUGUUUAUUAAUUGUAAACUGGAAUGAAAGAAGAAAUGGGGAAAAUCUUUCUUUAAUUUAUUUGAUUGAAAUUUAAUUUUUAGUAAAAAUGCUAAAGUUAGAUUUAGGGACGAGAAGACCCUAUAAAGUUUUAUAUAUGUGUUUAACAUUAUGGAAUUACAGAUAUAUUUUAUUGGGGCAAUACUUUAAUAUUAAAAUUUAAAGGAUUUUAAAGUUAUUAUAUAUAAGGAAGAGCCAUAAUUUAUGAUUACCAGAUUAAAUUACUUUAGGGAUAACAGCAUAAUUUAGAUUUAAAAGUUCAUAUUGAAAAUUUAGUUUAUGACCUCGAUGUUGAAUUAAUACGGCUAUUUGGCGCAAGAGUUAAAUGAGCUAG